Canis lupus familiaris (dog) is the source of this 2270-nucleotide long non-coding RNA. RefSeq lists it as uncharacterized. The transcript is spliced from 5 exons. The record is from RefSeq and is a predicted model, not a curated record. NCBI's taxonomy places the organism in Eukaryota, Metazoa, Chordata, Mammalia, Carnivora, Canidae.
UGGGGAGUGUCCAGCCACUGAGUCACUGUUAUACUGCUAUGAAUCACAUUCUAUUGGCACCAGACUCAUUCAUCAGAUCCUGCUGCCCUAUCACGACUCAGUACCGCUCAAUCGGUCAGUGGUCUUCUAGCUUUGCUGGGCUGUGCAGUACAGAUCUUACAUUAAAUGCCAUGUGUCACACCCUCAUAGAUGGUUUCUGGAGUGAGAAAUCACAGAAUGUUAGACCUGAAGAGACCAUGUGGACAAAGAAUUGUCGUGAUGAAUCUGAGCAGGACUCCUGCAGACCAGGACACUGCUGCAUGAGAGGCCUCUAGCAAGUUCCAUCACUGCUUAUCAGGAUUGCUUUCAUCCUCUCAGGGAGGGCGACAGAUAGUUAAAGAAGAACCAGGAAAGGCUGCAUCAUGCCCAGGCUCUUCUGGAAGGUGCUUCAUGAAACUUGCAAGGAUGUUUUCCCCAUCUUUGAGGGGUUCAAAAUCAUCAUUGGAAGUAAAGCAUGCUCUCGCACACCUGGCUCAUGGUGUCCAGAUGAUGCGGCUAUUGUAGGCAGAUCCUUGGGCUCUACUUUGAGGAGCAAGGUCCUACGUGAGCACCUUGCAAGACAUGCAGGGCUGUGAGGUGGUAGAAGCAAUGGAAGGGGAAAUGAGAUCAGAUACAUACUGAACUCAGCACUCAACCGCCCUGAACUUUGGAUUCCUCACAGAGCUGCUGUGAGAAUAGCCAAUGCUCUCAGUAAAAAGACGUGCCAUGACAUCAACAUAGAAGAUUCUCGUGAAGUGGAGUUUACACCUUUCCUCCUAAGAUGUUAAGAUCAUUUCACUGGACCUUUAGUGCUAACAUGUUACAUGCAUGUGAUAAUCAGAUGUUCUUAUUUGUAUCAUCUUGCAAUGUUUCUUUGGGACAGUUUUUUUUUUGUUUGUUUUUUUUUUUAAAGGUUAUUAGUCUGGUCUUCCCUGCUUUUGGUGCUUGGUUCUACUUACUUGUAGGCUCCUUUCACUCCCUUUCUCAACCCCCAAGUCGAAAAUCUGGUAAAGAUCCCUUAGUGGAUAUAAUUUAGGGAAAUGGAGCUAAAUCUUAGCAGAACUGCUUUUUAAUGCCACACAACAGCUAUAAUUACCAUUGGGGAAGCAGAAACAUUAUGGAAUGUUACAAAAUUCAUUUGAUUUGCAAAAAGACCUAGUGCAAUUCAGCCUGAGUGGCUAUUAACGAGUUAUUAGGGAAGACAGGAGAUAGAACAAUAAAUAAUUUUCAUGCUUUAAGUUAAAUGUUUCAACCCUCAUGACACAUUUAAUUCCUGACUUUGGGAAGUAUUAUUGUACAGUGAUGUAGCUCAUUUAAUCCAGUAAGAAGAACGGAGCCUAGCAGCUAACCAGGGGUGGCAGAGGGGUGAAACGCACAUAGGCUUAAGGCCUUCUCAAACAAUGAAAUGGAGAUCAUAUUACUGGAAGGCCCUUCGAAUUUUUCAGAAAGCAUCUCUAGAUUAAUUAAUCUCUAUAUUAAUCAGAAUUAAUGGAUAAGAAAAUCCAUGUUUUCUGGAAACAUCCUUGAAGAUAGGUAGAAUUUAACUUCAGUGAUUACCCAGCUCUGUCUCCUUCUGACUCUUCUGCCUAAGCAGAGAGUCCUAAAAAUCCCCUCAAUAGGGAAAAUAUCCCAUUCUUGGAUAAAUCUGGGGAGAUGCAUAAGGCAAAAACAUGCAGAGAGAAGCAGUAAUAUUGAUUCACUACAGAGCUGUGCAGAGCAGCUCACUUUCCAACAAGUCCUGUGCUUUUACAUUUCUUUGCAAUCAGAGGACAGUAAAGAAAGAAUUAUUGGUCUGUGGAGAGUGGGGCUUAGUGUAGGCCAAUUUUGUUGGAGCAAGUUUUAAAAAGGGCCCUACUCACCGUGCGUUGGCUUAACACUUCUGUUUCUUUGUUGUUGCUGUUAUUAUUAUUAUUACUGUUACUAUUAUUUUUGUCCCAGAUGGAAUAGAAAUUGUCCCAAGAAUUACCAAACAGCCAGUUGCAAUUGCCAUGCUCAUCUUUGCCCUACACCUACAUUUAGCUUAGGCACCACAUAAACGCUGUCAGUUUAUUACUUAUUUCAUACUGACAGUGUCUGAUUUGCGUUGAUAGUCUACUUUCAGGAUAUGUCUUCUUAAUCUUCUCUCCUUAUUAUGAUAUACUUUUUCAAAAAGAACUUAAAAAAAAUCUUGAAAGUUAUCCGAUGCUAUAAUACCAAUUUCUUUAACAAUAACAAAGCUAAUAGAAUAAAAGCCAUCAGGUGUGGGUAUUUUA